This 219-nucleotide long non-coding RNA is filed under the name Gossypium barbadense (sea-island cotton). RNAcentral's name for it is "long non-coding RNA (GBAR_LNC015452)". The record is from RNAcentral. Lineage: Eukaryota; Viridiplantae; Streptophyta; Magnoliopsida; Malvales; Malvaceae.
UUGUUGCAGAGCAGCCCACGAUGGCUUAACUGGCGGUAUACUCCCAAUGUUCUAUAUCUGGCAAUAUAUCUUCAUUAUCUGGUGGCUUGUCCAUAAUAUUGGUGUGUUAUUGGAUGGACAAGUUCUAGGGAACUCAUUAUGGUGUGUAGCGGAGAUGGGUAGGAUCUAUUUUCUAAAAAAUCUACACUAAUUUUUGAAAAAGUGUUGCAUUGACAUUGC